Molecule: ribosomal RNA, 380 nt
Filed under: uncultured eukaryote
Lineage: Eukaryota
Description: partial 18S ribosomal RNA
Rfam family: Eukaryotic small subunit ribosomal RNA
Source: RNAcentral
CAAUAGCGUAUGUUAAAGUUGUUGCAGUUAAAAAGCUCGUAGUUGGAUUUGUGGCGUACGGUGUGUUCCGGGCACUUGUUGUCUGAGUAACCUGCUGUUGCCAUCCUUGGGUGGAACCUGUGUGGCAUUAGGUUGUCGUGCAGGGGAUGCCCAUCAUUUACUGUGAAAAAAUUAGAGUGUUCAAAGCAGGCUUAUGCCGUUGAAUAUAUUAGCAUGGAAUAAUGAGAUAGGACUUUUUUGCUAUUUUGUUGGUUUGCGCAAGAAGGUAAUGAUUAAUAGGGACAGUUGGGGGUAUUCGUAUUCCAUUGUCAGAGGUGAAAUUCUUGGAUUUUUGGAAGACGAACUACUGCGAAAGCAUUUACCAAGGAUGUUUUCAUUAA